CAGCAUGUCUUAUCAAGGGCUGUGGCUUGAAGUAGCCACGGGGUCUCCAACUGCAUGCAGAACAUGCUGGAAAGACUUUGACAGUGCGGGUCACCACAUGCCUGCAGCUGCCACUCAGCUUUCCUAUACUC
RNAcentral lists this small nucleolar RNA (131 nucleotides) under Phascolarctos cinereus (koala). RNAcentral describes it as "Small nucleolar RNA SNORA44 (ENSPCIG00000030786.1)". It matches the Rfam family "Small nucleolar RNA SNORA44". Rfam says of the family: ACA44 is a member of the H/ACA class of snoRNA that guide the sites of modification of uridines to pseudouridines. The record is from Rfam by way of RNAcentral. Lineage: Eukaryota; Metazoa; Chordata; Mammalia; Diprotodontia; Phascolarctidae.